GUUUACCUCCUACUGUGGUUGUCU
This 24-nucleotide non-coding RNA is filed under the name Arabidopsis thaliana (thale cress). The record is from RNAcentral. Lineage: Eukaryota; Viridiplantae; Streptophyta; Magnoliopsida; Brassicales; Brassicaceae.